GUGUGGUUGUUGCUGGCCCUCUCGGGGGCAUGUGCACACCCACCAUCCUCAUCUCUCCACCUGUGCACCUCUUGUAGACCUGGAUUGACUUUCCGAGGCAACUCGGUCGGGAAGAUUGCUGCGCUCUGUGAGCCAGCUUUCUUUGCAUGUCCAGGCCUAUGUUUUUCAUAUACCCCUAUAGAAUGUAACAGAAUGUAUCAUUGGGCCUUGUGCCUAUAAACCUUAUACAACUUUCAGCAACGGAUCUCUUGGCUCUCGCAUCGAUGAAGAACGCAGCGAAAUGCGAUAAGUAAUGUGAAUUGCAGAAUUCAGUGAAUCAUCGAAUCUUUGAACGCACCUUGCGCUCCUUGGUAUUCCGAGGAGCAUGCCUGUUUGAGUGUCAUUAAAUUCUCAACCUUAUUAACUUUUGUUGAUAAUGGAUUGGAUUGUGGGGGUUUCUUUUGCUGGCUUCUUCACAGAGAUCAGCUCCCCUUAAAUGCAUUAGCUGGUGCCCCGCGUGGACCAUCUAUUGGUGUGAUAAUUAUCUACGCCGUGGAUGUCUGCAAUCAUAUGGGUUUCGCACUGCUUCUAACCGUCUGUUCAUUCGGACAAUACAUGACAAUUUGACCUCAAAUCAGGUAGGACUACCCGCUGAACUUAAGCAUAUCAAUAAGCGGAGGAAAAGAAACUAACAAGGAUUCCCCUAGUAACUGCGAGUGAAGCGGGAAAAGCUCAAAUUUAAAAUCUGGCGGUCUCCGGCCGUCCGAGUUGUAAUCUAGAGAAGUGUUAUCCGCGCUGGACCGUGUAC
RNAcentral lists this ribosomal RNA (787 nucleotides) under uncultured Alnicola. Its description in RNAcentral is "eukaryotic LSU rRNA". The stretch from base 229 to 382 matches the Rfam family "5.8S ribosomal RNA". The record is from RNAcentral. Lineage: Eukaryota; Fungi; Basidiomycota; Agaricomycetes; Agaricales; Cortinariaceae.